AGACGAAGACGAAGACGAAGACGAAGACGAAGACGAAGACGAAGACGAAGACGAAGACGAAGACGAAGACGAAGACGAAGACGAAGACGAAGACGAAGACGAAGACGAAGACGAAGACGAAGAAAUUGUGCUGAAAUAAGCCGAAUGCAAUCUGAAUUCAUUUCUCAGCAUGGUUAGCAGAUUAAGUCAUCUCUCUCCAGUCUCCAUGGCUACUGAAUGAAGACCUGGACUCCUGAAUAGAAUGCAGUACAAACUACUGACCUACUCCCAAGAACCAGCACCGCCUGCUACUUUUGGUUCACCAGCUGACAGCUGUUGGCAAAACUUUCACUGGUAUUAGAUUGAUAGAUAUAACUGGUAUUUGAUCGGCAGCCUGAAGCCCAUCAACUGUGAUGUGUUAUGAACAGGUGAUCUGUGAAUUGUGAUCACACAGUGUGUGCAUUAACAAUUAAUCCUGUAUUUUAUAAUACAAAUGUUGAAAAUUU
Amphibalanus amphitrite is the source of this 485-nucleotide long non-coding RNA. RefSeq lists it as uncharacterized. NCBI's taxonomy places the organism in Eukaryota, Metazoa, Arthropoda, Thecostraca, Balanomorpha, Balanidae. The record is from RefSeq and is a predicted model, not a curated record. The transcript is spliced from 2 exons.